AAAUAAACGGUACAAAAUAAU
RNAcentral lists this small RNA (21 nucleotides) under Arabidopsis thaliana (thale cress). RNAcentral's name for it is "ATSL065080". Lineage: Eukaryota; Viridiplantae; Streptophyta; Magnoliopsida; Brassicales; Brassicaceae. The record is from RNAcentral.